This is an RNA transcript of Aethina tumida (small hive beetle), 1383 nucleotides long. It is a transcript of the gene named glycine receptor subunit alpha-2, with no coding region annotated. The transcript is spliced from 10 exons. The record is from RefSeq and is a predicted model, not a curated record. NCBI's taxonomy places the organism in Eukaryota, Metazoa, Arthropoda, Insecta, Coleoptera, Nitidulidae.
UUUGCCUCAGAAUUCCUGUUAGUACGGGGAUGAUAAUUGAUUGGUUAUUUAAUUGUGCUAAAACAUUUGUGUCAGUAUCUGUUGAACGUUCAUGUUUAUCAAAACCAGGAUGUAUUUAUCAACUAUUACUUUAAUUUUUGUGUUGACAACAGUAAUUAGUACAUCUGCUCUAAUACCAAAGUCAGUAUAUAAUAAAACAAAAAAUAUAAUACCUGACUAUUAUAUUAAAGAGUUACGUCCGCCUACCGUAAUGGGUAAACCAAUAGAGGUGGAUUUCAGUAUGAGAGUCAUGGAUAUAAAUUCCAUUAAUGUUGAAGAUAUGGAUUUUCGUAUGGAUAUGUUCCUAAUACAAAAAUGGACUGACGCACGUAUUAAAAUUCCUGAGGAACUGUUCGAAUAUGGGGAUGAUUCAAUAACGUUGCCUUCACAAUUUUUUGAAAAUCUAUGGCAGCCCGACUUAUAUUUUCUUAAUUCGAAAGUUGUUGAAAUUGCAACCUUAACUCAUAAGUUUUCUUCUGUAACACUAUAUAGAAAUAAGACUAUACGUUACGCAGCAAGGAUGCAUGCUAUUGUAGCAUGUCAAAUGGAGUUUCAACAUUAUCCGAUGGACACGCAGAUGUGUCCCAUUAAUAUCGAAAGCUUUUCUUACAAUCAAGAGAAAAUGUUUUUGAAAUGGGGCGAAUUUGGAGUAACGGUCAGUCCGGAAUUAAAGCUGUUACAGUACAAUAUAUUACCAAUAGAACUGGAGGAAACUUUUGCUUAUACAGGAGAGAAAAAUGGGAAUUUCUCCAGACUUGUUGUAACUUUCAGAUUUGAAAGGCAAAUCGGUCAUCAUUUGAUACAAACUUUUGCACCUUCAACCUUGGUAGUAGCUUUGUCUUGGUUUAGCUUUUGGUUAGGAUUAGAUGCAAUUCCUGGAAGAAUGACACUUUUGGUAACAUGUCUUUUGACUUUGGUGACAAUGUUUACUGGAUUGAGAUCAGAUAUUCCAGCAGUUGCAUAUGUUAAGGCUUUGGAUCUUUGGAUGGCUUUAUGCAUGAUAUCCGUGUUUGCAGCUCUUGGAGAGUUUAUUAUUGUUAAAGUAUUGGAUGGAAAAUAUCAAGCUAGAAAAAAUAAAGAGAGGAACAUGGCAAUGGUAAGAAAAUGCUAUAACACCUUGGACAGGAAAUAAAAAGCACUCUAUUCAAAUUUCCGAAGAAAAUUUUGUGAAGCUACAUUGGAAAUCAAGCAAUGGAAAAGAAAAGGUUUUGUGGAAGGAAAUUGACCGAUUCUCAAGAAUGAUAUUUCCAGGACUAUUUUUCUUGAUUAGUAUAUUAUAUUGGACUAUUUUAAUAUUCAGUAGAUCACCAAUUAUGUAUUGAAUAAAAUUGUACUUACUAUGUU